This 257-nucleotide ribosomal RNA is filed under the name uncultured Gardnerella sp. Its description in RNAcentral is "partial 16S ribosomal RNA". It matches the Rfam family "Bacterial small subunit ribosomal RNA", at positions 98 to 354 of the family's 1533-position model. The record is from RNAcentral. Lineage: Bacteria; Bacillati; Actinomycetota; Actinomycetes; Bifidobacteriales; Bifidobacteriaceae.
CGGAACGGGUGAGUAAUGCGUGACCAACCUGCCCCAUGCUCCAGAAUAGCUCUUGGAAACGGGUGGUAAUGCUGGAUGCUCCAACUUGACGCAUGUCUUGUUGGGAAAGUGUUUAGUGGCAUGGGAUGGGGUUGCGUCCUAUCAGCUUGUAGGCGGGGUAAUGGCCCACCUAGGCUUCGACGGGUAGCCGGCCUGAGAGGGCGGACGGCCACAUUGGGACUGAGAUACGGCCCAGACUCCUACGGGAGGCAGCAGGA